Long non-coding RNA from Pezoporus flaviventris, 806 nucleotides. RefSeq lists it as uncharacterized. The transcript has 3 exons. The record is from RefSeq and is a predicted model, not a curated record. NCBI's taxonomy places the organism in Eukaryota, Metazoa, Chordata, Aves, Psittaciformes, Psittacidae.
AUCAGUGAAAGCUUGCUGCUUCACAUGGCCCUUCUCUCCAUUGGAGUUCUGCAGAUCCAGUUGUGCUGAGCUUCGAAAUUAAAGGAGAGGAUGUUUGACAGAGCCAGAUACGCUCAAGAACAGUCUCAUUCCUGAGAGUGACCCUCAUGUCCCAGAGAGAUCCUGUGGCAUUGGUGUCUGCACUGAGGACAAGUGGUGCAAGAUCUGCAUUGCUAUACUCCUUUUGCUGCCAGAUACAGGAAGAUCAAUCCAGACCACAUGAUUGCUGGCUACAUGGCUUUUACCCAUUGGCAACCAUCUCCUCGUGGUGACAUCAGCUGAGGUGGGAAGACUAUAAUUUUGCAUCACAGUAGUCGUUUAAGUAAAAAUGAACGUUAACAUUUCUCUGGUAUGCACCUGCCCUGCUCUACAUGUUUGUUUACCAUCCUGGAUUCCUGCUGACUAGUGUCCUACUGGGGUCAUUACCAUACAGACUUAGGGGUAAGCACCCACAUCCCAUUUUUAAGAUAUUCCUUUGCAAUGGCCUUCACACUACAGUCCUGAAUAAGGAGCAACAGGACAAAACCCUGAAUCUUUGCAGCUUCAUUUCAUUGACAGCAGUAAGAUAUGCACCACAACUGGGCAGCAUCUGGGGAAAAGGGCAGUUAGGUGAAAUGGGAGAUUUCCACGUUGAUAACUACAAGGUGUAUAGUUGACAGAUGGCAUUUUUCUUCUUCAAACUUACCUUUACUCUGCAUAUGUAACUUUCAGGCUCAGCCUGACACUGCACACAUUUAGUUAUGUGCUUCACUCAAGGCACAAGUGUU